GCAGAUGUAGCUCAGCGGGACAGUGUGUCCUUUGUGUGUAUGAGGUCCUGGGUUUGAUCCCCAACAUGCGUA
This 72-nucleotide transfer RNA is filed under the name Scleropages formosus (Asian bonytongue). RNAcentral describes it as "tRNA-Thr". The record is from RNAcentral. Lineage: Eukaryota; Metazoa; Chordata; Actinopteri; Osteoglossiformes; Osteoglossidae.